ACUUAUCCAAUAAGGUUCUGACCCAUACAACAGUCAGCACUUAACAAGCAAGGCAUUUCAAUUUGCUUUACUUUACCUUCAAAAUCUCUCAACCGGGUUUCAAAGUACUACCCGUCUGCGGUUUGCCGCCACUCCAGGCCUCAGCCAUUGACCCACCGGCCACCGUACCGCCAUCAGCCCAUCAUGGUUUGAACUUUGAAGAAAUUCGUAGAAAGAUACAAUUUUGUCUGCCAUAUCCAUCAUAGAUUGAGGUAUGCUUGAUCUACUUGAUUAGUUUUAGCAUUAUAAAUUUGUCUCUAAGGAUUGAUUUUGAUAUUGAUUUUGAACUCACCAUUCGCAAUAGCUGUUGAGUAUCCAUUGAUGUGCAACUGCUAGCUGUUUUGUUUUUGGAGACUAAGUGAUGGACUCUGUUUGAUGUGGGAAUCCAUGAUUCCACUUGGAAUACUUAUUGCAACGAGGUAUCUUAUCCAUCCAAAUAUUUUCCAAGUUCUUGACUCGUUUAUUGACUAAAGUACGAUUGAAAAGCAAAUAUGGUUUUGUUAUUCGAUCCAAAAUUCAAUCGUGUUAGGGCACAAUUAACAGGGGCGGAUCCACAUUAGGGCACCCCCUGGCACGUGCUCGGGGACAAUUUCAGAAGAAAAUUAAAAUUGAAAAAUCCGAAAGUCAAGGGAAUGGGGAAAGAAGGAUGCGCGACAUUCUCAAAGCAGAAUUCUGAUUUUUACCCAUUCACCUUCUCUCUUAAUCCCUAAAACUUACUUAGCCACCGCCACUGCCCCGCCAUUUAAGUCGGCGGGCCACCACUGCUGCCCUGCUAUUUAAGUCGGCAGGCCACCACCGCUGCCCUGCCACUCCAGUAGACUACCGCCAACCUCUUGUCGCCUUCUAAAUUUAGACAGAAAUCGAAGCAUGCAUGAUGUAGCAAUGCUACAGUGCUCUCCAGAAUUUUGAAGAAAGCUUUGUUAAAUCUUGUAGUAAUUGCUUUUCUCUUACUUUUUCUCUUUUUCUAAAUUUUGUCUAAACUCUAUGUCUUUUUCAUCUUUUUGCAUUAUUUUCUUUUUACUUCUAUAAAUUAUUCAUUUCUGUUUUUAUGGGGUUAGUUUUUUGUUUUAUUUUUUGUUUUAUUUUUAUUUUUUUUUUUUGUGGUUGAAACUUGAAAUUAUUGGUUCUUUUGGUUAAAUUACACAAAUUGAGGGUUUAAAUUGAUAAAGAAAGGUGAAAUUUUUAUGGGUAGUUCAUAAAAGGUGUGAUGAUUAGUGCCAUUUAAUCUCUUUCACCAUUACAGUAUUGAAGUUUGCUCACAUAAGCUUCUUUGAUGAACAUCACUCAUCAGUUAAUCAUUUCUCUUGAAUAUAAAACACGACAUUCACAAUAGGUAAAAGCUAGUCAUUUCGACAGUGCAAAUCCACAUGUAAAGAAUCCUCGCUCAACAUAGCACACUCAUCCAUCAACAAAGCCUGAUGACUUGCUACAAAAACUGGCUCUGUCAUCUUCAUUGGAUUCACAUUCAGGACUAAAGGUUUUAUAUUUAUUUAGACUGCGUUUUCCAUCAGUAGCUUCACCAACAGAGACUUUGUCGAGGAUAAACCUAUCAAUGUUUUAUGACAUAGUUUGGUAGGAUAUAUUAGGUUAUUCUAUUUAGUAAUUUGGUAUCUUUGAAGAGUGUUCUGUUAGAAACUUGUACUGUUGCCACGUCUAGAGGGAUCUUUAUAAUUAUAUUCAUGAGAUCUUUGAAAGGAUUUGAUGUAUGUUGCAUUUUUAUUCUGGUGAGGUUAUUUUAUGCUUUCAACAGUGAUGGGAAAAUGAUUCAGCGUUAGUCAUAUAAGCAGGGUGUAAAGCAAAUUAAAAGAGUAGGCAAUGUUCUCCAUUUGGGUAAGCAACACUGGCUUCUGCAGUACUGCCUUUAACUGACGUAUUUUCUAUUGGUUGACAAAGAAUUAUGAUAAUGUUGUAAGCUCUAAGGUUAUCUUUGAGGCAAUGUUUUCUGAGUAUGUUGGGUGUAAUGUAAGUUGCAAGUAACUUAAGUGUUAAUGUGUUAAUGUGUAGUAUAAUUGUCAAAAACUAAUUUCAGCUGUGUGUUGACACUUUAUAUAAGUGUUGGUUUAAUUUGUGAGUAAUUUAAGAAUGUGUAAUACUUGAAUGGCUAAUUAUAGUUGAUCAUGAUAACUAGGUUCUAUUAGUACAAUACAGAACUAAUUUCAUCUGAUCAUAUAGAUUGGAGUUUUUACUUGCAACUUCAGGACUAGUUGCUGAGUUAAUGCACAAACGUACUGAUCACACAGAUCAGAGCUGAUAAUACAGAUCAUACAUAUGUUGUGCUUCCAAUUACAAAGGAUGGAAAAAUAAGUGUGUUUAGGUGGCCAACAAGUAACAAAUAUGACAAUCACAAGUACGACAUACAAGCAUCUAAAAACAGUUAUAAAGACGUUUUACAUUGGCUUUGGGUUUUGUAUUUUUUUAGUAACUAAACUUCUCCAUGUAAAUAUCAUGGGAAUGAUAUUUUUUUAUUUGAAUAUUUCUAGAUAUUUUGUUUUAUUAUGAUUGACAAAAUUUAUGAAAUUUUCUUAAUCAAAUACAGUAUAUUUAUGUUUUGAAAUGUAAACAUAUAUUAUUUAGACUAUU
Amaranthus tricolor (Joseph's coat) is the source of this 2619-nucleotide long non-coding RNA. RefSeq lists it as uncharacterized. The record is from RefSeq and is a predicted model, not a curated record. The transcript is spliced from 3 exons. Lineage: Eukaryota; Viridiplantae; Streptophyta; Magnoliopsida; Caryophyllales; Amaranthaceae.